Molecule: ribosomal RNA, 612 nt
Filed under: Triticum aestivum (bread wheat)
Lineage: Eukaryota; Viridiplantae; Streptophyta; Magnoliopsida; Poales; Poaceae
Description: partial small subunit ribosomal RNA
Source: RNAcentral
AUGCGCGACAUCUCCCUGGAGCAUGCCCGCCUCCAUAGCCGCGCCCUCAAGGUGGUCGACGUCGGUGGUGGCACUGGCUUCACCACGCUCGGCGUCGUCCGGUAUGUCGACCCCGAGAACGUGACGCUGCUCGACCAGUCGCCGCACCAACUCGACAAGGCCAGAAAGAAGAAGGCCCUCAGGGGCAUCAAGAUCAUGGAGGGUGACGCCGAGGACCUCCCCUUCCCCACCGACACCUUCGACCGAUACGUCUCCGCUGGCAGCAUUGAGUAUUGGCCUGAUCCGCAGCGGGGGAUCAGGGAGGCCUACAGGGUCUUGAGUGCGGACGGCGUGGCUUGUAUGAUAGGCCCCGUUCGCCCGACGUUCUGGCUAUCUCGCUUCUUCGCUGACAUGUGGAUGCUCUUCCCCACGGAGGAAGAGUCAAGACACAAAGCGGAGACUCCCCCUUGCAGGUCGAAGGCCCAUGUAGCAGUGGUUCGGCCACAGUGUGCGGGGACCACAUACCAAAUUCUGGAUGAAUUGUUCUUUUUUUGUUUUCAAGCGGACGGACGCACAAAAUUUAGUACGACCUUGGAGAGAGAAAAAUGUGUGACGUAUGAAAAAAAUAUGUGA